Bubalus bubalis (water buffalo) is the source of this 10333-nucleotide RNA transcript. It is a transcript of the gene named glutamyl-tRNA amidotransferase subunit B, with no coding region annotated. The transcript is spliced from 14 exons. The record is from RefSeq and is a predicted model, not a curated record. NCBI's taxonomy places the organism in Eukaryota, Metazoa, Chordata, Mammalia, Artiodactyla, Bovidae.
AGUCUAGAGUGGUUUAUCUAAUUUCUUAGAACUACGUUUCCCAGAGAGCCAUGCAGCAGAGGGAGGCUGUGUCACCUGACCAGGACUCUGGAGAGACAAUGGCGGCGCCCAUGUUGCGCUGGUGCUGUCCUGGAAGGCGUUUUGCUUUCGCCCGGGUUGGCUGCGGUUCUUGCCACAGAAGAGGGCCUCCGACUGGGUCCACGUCCAACGGGAAAAGAGGGCAGAGCUCAGUGGCUCAGCAGCCCCACAUCACAGCCCAGAAGCCGAGAAAAGGUGAACGAGAAUGGGCCGCGGUGGUAGGAUUGGAAAUUCAUGCCCAGAUUGCCUCCAACUCCAAACUCUUUUCUGGAUCUCAAGUCUGCUUUGCAGCUCCUCCCAAUUCUUUGGUAUCUUUUUUUGAUGCAUCUCUACCUGGAACUUUGCCGGUCCUCAACAGGCGGUGCGUGGAAGCAGCCGUGAUGACCGGCCUGGCCCUGGACUGUCACAUCAACAGGAAGUCCUUGUUUGACCGGAAGCACUACUUCUAUGCAGACCUCCCUGCGGGCUACCAGAUUACCCAGCAGAGGCUACCGAUCGCUGUGAACGGGAGCUUGGCGUACAGCGUCUGUGUGGGGAGGAAGCCAAGUCAGGUGGUCACCAGGACCGUGAGGGUGAAGCAGAUCCAGCUGGAGCAGGACAGUGGCAAAAGCCUGCACGACGACCUGCGGUCCCAGACGCUCAUUGACCUGAACAGGGCAGGGAUCGGCCUUCUGGAAGUGGUCCUGGAGCCGGACAUGUCCUGUGGAGAAGAGGCAGCCACAGCUGUCAGGGAGCUGCAGCUGAUUCUUCAGGCCUUGGGGACCAGCCAGGCGAACAUGGCAGAGGGCCAGUUAAGAGUGGAUGCCAAUAUAUCUGUGCAUCGCCCUGGGGAGCCUUUGGGCAUUCGAACUGAAGUGAAGAAUCUCAACAGUGCCCGAUUUCUGGCCAAAGCUAUAGACUAUGAAAUUCAGAGGCAAAUCAAUGAACUUGAGAAUGGAGGUGAAAUUCUGAAUGAAACGCGCUCGUUUGAUUACAAGCUUGGGUGCACCGUGCCGAUGAGAGACAAAGAAGGAAAACAAGACUACAGGUUCAUGCCGGAGCCCAACCUGCCCCCGCUGCUGCUCUACGACUCAGGGUCCCUCCCCUCCGGCGCAGACCCGCAGCAGGUGAUCAACAUCGACCAGCUGCGGGAGCGGCUCCCCGAGCUGCCCCACGUGACCCGCCAGAGGCUCGUGCAACAGUACGGGAUGCUGCCGGAGCACAGCUGUGUCCUGCUGAAUGAAGUUGGCCUACUGGAGUUCUUCCAAAAUGUGAUCAAAGAAACUAGGGCAGAGCCCAAAAAAGUGACUAGUUGGGUCCUCAACACUUUUCUGGGCUUUUUAAAGCAACAGAACCUUGCCGUCAGUGAGAGUCCUGUCACACCCUCUGCCCUGGCUGAGCUGCUGGACCUGCUGGACAGGAAGGCCAUCUCUUCGUCCGCAGCCAAGCAGGUGUUUGAGGAACUGUGGAGGAAUGAAGGCAAGACCCCAACACAGAUCGUUGCAGAAAAGAAGCUUGAACUGCUGCAGGACCCAGAGGCCCUGGAGCAGCUCUGCCGCUCCACGCUGGAGGCGCACCCCGACGUGGUAAUGGAUCUAAAGAGGGGAAACCCCAGAGCUAUAAACAAACUGAUCGGGUUGGUCCGAAAAGCGACUCUGGGCCGAGCAGACCCGACAGCGAUCAAGGAGGUGCUGGAGAGGCAGCUUCAUCCUGACGGGUUCGGGUCCCCCUGCCAAGGCCCGGCCAAAGCCUGUGCAAGCUGAUGUCCGGGGCCCUGCCCACCUGCGCCUGGAGAUGCCGCCUCCACGAAGGCUUCAUGGACAUCACAGGGUUCCAGGAGAGGUGCGGCGACGCCCCGACUUUACACUGAGUUCUGUCUGUGCUGAGAAGAGGACAAAUGUCUUCAUCAUGAGCGGUGCUCCCGAGGCAGCAGGGACCCAGAGAAGAGCAGACCGUCCCCCACCAGCGCCUCAGCUGUUCACGCUUCUGGUUGUGGACGCUGGCUCAGGAUUUCCCUAACUGGGAGUAUUGGGAGGACUGUCCUUCCCAGCCAGAAGAGCAGGGGCAGGAAGGAAACGAGCCAUCUGGUUUAUUUCAGACAGGCAUGAAGAGGUAAGGUUUUACUUUGUAAAAAAUGCGUGUUGAGAAUAUGUGACAUCACCUGGGAAGCCGUGUGCCCCUUGCAGGUCCUGUUAACGGUUCUGAAAACCACUGGGCCUGACAGUAAACUGCUCAUCAAGCCACUUUUCGAGACAGAAAGUCAGAGCCAGUCCCCAAACCCUGACCCCCAACCCCUUUGCUCCUGAGACUGGAAUCUGGCAGCAGCAUGAUUUUGUAAGAAACAGUAAGAGUUCAGUUUUGUUUUCCAAACUCCAUUUUCACCAGAAAUCUGGCUUCUUGGUCAUCAGACUUUACAGAAAGCACUAGCCAACCUUUGCAGAUCAUUUUAAAUCAAGGGCUGACUUGAAUGGGACUGGGGAGUGGCGGGGACAGUUCAAUGAAGACCAUUUACCAAUAAUAUCGUGUCAUAUGUAAACUGUAUUAUGGACUGAUCAUUUUGGAGAAAAAUGCCAUUGCUGGGGUGAGGGUGGGGGCAGAGAGAAGGAAAUGGGUAAAAGGGGGUCAGCUGUCUGGCGGCGGCAGAAACAGCCCUUGGUGGUGAGCACACUGUAAGGUACAGUGAAGCAGAAAUGUGUCGUCCACAUGAAACAUACAGUGUUAUAAACCGGUUGCCUCAGUUUAACACGGAGCUCUGAAUCUCUGCUGAUUAUUGUCCAGCUCUGACAACUGCCCGUUAUCUUGAAUGCUCACUUCCAAAAUCCAAAAAAUCAGAUUAUGUUGUUACAACUGUUAAUAGGAAAAAAAAAAAGCACAGCUGAUAUCUUACUUGGAGCCUGACGAGAUUAGAAGUACGUCUUUAUGUAAUACCCUAAGAAAUUCACAACGUGUGGCUCUACUUGUAAAAGGGGCUUCAACGAAAUACAGUGUUAAAUGCAUUUUUGCAUGAGUGUGAGUUUAGUCUGGUGGUCCGCUUUUCUGGGGGAAAUCUCAUUAAAUGGAUGAGUCGGCGCCACAGGUGCCGCGAUCGCUGUCUCUCACUGGAAUGCACAUACCUGUGGGCCGGGAGAGGGCCGUGCUGGGAGACUGGCUUCCCGGCGGACCUGCUCAGGUACCAGGUGUGUGCUCUGGCUGAGGAGCAGGUUGGCUGGCUGGUUCAGGUGGGAGGGGAGGGCUUAGCAUGCUACCAGGCACAGAGUACGUUUUUAGUAAAAGUUCACUAGAUUUCUAAAACUAAAUUAAUGGACAGGGACUUCCCUAGCAGUCCAGGGGUUAAGACUCCGUGCUUCCACUGCAGGGGGUGUGGGUUUGAUCCCUGGUCAGGGAACUAAGAUCCCCCACAUCUCACAGCCAGAAGAAAGAACCAAGAAAGAUUGCCUUUUGUGGGGGCCCUUUCGUAUGAGAGAUGGGUGCCUCCAACCUCUGGGCUUUUAAAUUCUAGGACAAGGAAGGAGCUUCUUAACUCUGUCCAGGGUUCUGCCUCUAGGUAAACUUCUGUUCCCAUCUUUUAAGAUGUAGGCAACCCUGAGGGAAAAAAGUUGCAACCCACUCCAGUAUUCUUGCCUGGAGAAUCCCAGGGACAGAGGAGCCUAGUGGGCUGCCGUCUAUGGGGUCGCACAGAGUCAGACACGACUGAAGCGACUUAGCAGUAGCAGCAGCAAGGAUGUUUUAGCUGAGCUCCCCCCUCCUUUUUUAUAAUUAGUGAGAACCUGGAAGAAGACUAUGAAUUUUUUUCAGGUAAACACCCUCCUAAAGCUUUGAGUUGGCUCAUUCAGUACAUAGCAUAUGACCAGGACCCACCUAAAUUGUAUUUUUCAUGUCUGUUGAGUUCAGCAGCAUCAUUUCAAGGAUCCUACGUAGUGGCUAUUUGGGGGAAAAAGAACACUAAAUCUAACGGAAAGGCCAUCAUUUUCCACCCCCAAAAGUAGCACGUAGAUCGCUGCCAUGUCUCUUCAGCAGAUUUUAGACAAAUGCAUUCACAGAGUAUUUGUGAGCAGAGCUGAUCCCUGGUGGUCAGAUGGAAAGCAUCUGAUUGAAAUCUUCUCUCUGCCUCCCUUAGUCAAGCAUCUUAGCCAAGAUCAUUUAAAUAGCAUCUUCAACCCCAAAUUCCCUCUUAUAAAUAUCUCUGCAGGGCAGAAUGGGGCCUUGUUACAGGUGGGCCUUUUCUAGACGUGUCCCAAUAAAAGCCAGCUGCCACCCCAAGCAGCACAGACUUCUGCAGCCUAGGCUCCAUGAAACGCGUAAUCUACUUCUGCAGCCUCGGCUCCGUGAAACACGUAAUCUACUUCUGCAGCCUCGGCUCCGUGAAACGCGUAAUCUACUUCUGCGGCCUCGGCUCCGUGAAACGCGUAAUCUACUUCUGCAGCCUCGGCUCCGUGAAAUGCGUAAUCUGGCCCAAGAGCUGCCGCCACCCUUGUCAGGCUGGGAAAGGACACAGUGAACCGCAGGUCCCCCCCAGAUGCCUGAGGGGUGUGGGGGCGCUGCUGGCAGCCUUGUUCCUUGUGGGGGACGGUAGGGAAAAAAAUACACAGUGACGUGGGGGCAGGGAGGGGCAGGCUCAGCUAAAACCGGUCCCCAUCUCAGGACUGCAAGUACAAAGCCAAAGAACUUUCCCCGCAAAGCCUCAAGGAAGAUUUUUUACCGGAGCCCUGUUUAUCCUGUUAAUGAGCUGCCAGGAUUAUCUGUUCUCCAGAACAAGGAAUGGCCUAAUUAAAAGCCUGAAUAGAGAGAGGAUUUACUGAGGCAAAGUUAUCCUGAAACAAUUCUUAGUAUUUCGAGAGCUCUUUCUAAAGCAUUUAGGUUUAUGAUGGUCAUUCAAAAGUGGGGGGAAAAGCCAGCUCCAUUUUCUUAAAAUGUUUCCUCCGUGAUGUGAUUUAAGAGUAGAGUAUAAACUUGUUUGACAGUGUUCUAUCUUAGGCUGUUUUAGAUGGAGAAUUAGUGUUGUGUGAUUUACAGACUGAUGGCUGAAGCAAGGGGUCGAGAAUAUCUUCAAUGACCGGAAGCCUGGGCCACAGAGGCCUGCUGUUCAGGAAGAGCUAAUACUACUCAGCUGGCUGGGGUGUGGGCGAGCCAGAUUACACCCAGCGGGCCAGUGCCUUCAGGCAGCACCUGCAGUAGCGCUGUUUUGUCUGGUCACUGAGUCACAUCUCACUCUUUGCGACCCCUGGACUGCAGCACACCAGGCUUCCCUGUCCAUCACCAUCUCCCAGAGUUUGGUGUCCACUGAACUCAAGUUCACGUCCAUUGAGUUGGUGAUGCUAGCUAAUCGUCUCAUCCUCUGCCGCCCCCUUCACCUGCCAUCAGUCUUUGCAGCAUCAGAGUCUUUUCCACUGAGUGGGCUGUUCACUUCAGGUGCAGUAAUAGCUGACCUGCAAUAAUGUCCUUCAUUUAAAUGGCUGAGUGUGCCAGCCAUUCAGUAAAUGCGUGGCUGACGAUUAGUGACCACACUGACCCGCCCGCCCCCACGUGAGGUUGGGCGUGCACUGCAGACGUUCACCCUUCCGUCUGUGGCACGUCCCACCCCCGCCCCAGCCGCACUUCCUGUAGGAGAGCGGCCGAGGCACACUGACCCACGUUCGGGUCAGGCAGCCCACCCGCAGUCCCAAACCUCUGAACCCAGCUGGGAGCCCAGCCUCGUGGACUGCGCGACCAGGCUGAGCCAGAGACAUAAAAAACAACCCUCGGCCCCGAGCACCGUGUCCUGUUUCUAGAUUCUGUACCUAGGAGGACGCGCUCCCCCAUUACCCUGGCCCCAGGAUGUCUUAAUGGCUUGAAAUCAACCACUGCGGCAGGCCUCAAGAAAAGCCACUUGCUGAGGAAAAGGUACCCCUGAGGACCCACGAGGGAAUAAACAGCCCCUUCCUACAUGUUACGGAGACACUGAUUCCAAUCCUAGCACCUCAAAGUAUUUUACUAAGUAAAAUGGGGACCAUUUCCUCUAAAUAUCAGGAAAAGGAAAUACCUACAAAAAAACCACACAUCUCUGAUUGGUUACUCCAGCACUGCCAUUUCAUGUCUGGGACUCUGUACUUGAGUCCGUAAAAUUGUAUUUUAGGCUAAACUCAACCUGGAAUUGCUUUAAAAUUUUAUAAACGUUUACUUGGCUAGUUCCAAAAAUCAAUUUUAAAAUAUCCCAGCACUCUCAUAUACUUUGAACCACAAAACCCAGUUCAUCUAGAACUUCAGAUCAGACUCUGAAUAUGAAUCUCAGUGAAGGACGUGCUACUGCAGGAACUUGACUCACCUCUGCUGCCCGGGACACCGGGCCUGACACAGCGACCCCAACCUGGGCAGCACCGAAGCCCGUGCCCACUGAGCCUUCCAGCCCGCAGCACAGCAGCUGACUUGGGGGCCCGCCACGUGGUAAAGCGUCCACGCGGAAACAUUUUACAGCAUGCCCAGUAUCAUUCAAAAUUCUUCCCCAAUCUCAUUGCAAAGGAGAUUUCUAAACAUCCCACCUGCUACUUUAUGACUAGAAUAUUCUACUUCAUUGUGUGAGGUCAGUCACUCAGUCAUGUCUCUUUGCAACCCCAUGGACUGUAGCCCACCAGGCUCCUUCGUCCAUGGGAUUCUCCAGGCAAGAAUACUGCAGUGGGUUGCCAUGCCUUUCUCCAGGGGAUCUUCCUGACCCAGGGAUCAAACCUGCGUCUCAACAUCUCCUCCAUUGGCAGGCAGGUUCUUUAACACUAAUGCCACCCGGGAAGUCCAUCUACUUCAGUACCAAGAUUUUUCCCAGCAAGGAUUCCCAUCGCCACCCGCUGCCAUUCAUCCCUGUCUGCCUGGACAGUGUUCGUGUCUCCAGACUCCUCAGGGCUGCUCUUCUGCUUCAGCUUCCGGCCUCGUGUGCCCUCACACACGGCCACCCCACCCCCAAACAUCCUUGCCCAGCCCACCUGGCUGUUCCCCCUCGACUGCAGAAGUUCACCCGUUCCCACGAAUGUAUUUCCAGGUUCAUUUUCUGACUUUGUUUUGAGAAACCCUGGACAUAACACUCGGUCGAGGGCUGCAGUGGAUCCAGAAACCCAAACUGGUGUCUGCCUCCAGAGAGACAGGGCUGGCAUGUUGCUACCAGCACCCACCACGGGAGUUAAUCCUCCUGCCUCUCACUCAGACUUGGGUCACCUCCGUCCUCCUCGAAGUCUACUUCAGUACCUAUUUUAAAUACAUACUCUUCCCCAGGGGGCGCCUUCCACAUAGGGGACUGUAGUUUUCUGUAAUAAAGCAAGAAAAAGACUCCACACCAUCACCAGAUGAUGGAGAGAAGUGUAAAUCACACCAGAAAGCUAAAGGAUAUGGCUUCCGGAGGCAACUUGAGCAUCUUAUAUACCCAGUGAGUCCAAACUGGAAGAUAAAUAACUUAUGCAAAGCAAAGCUGGAAGGUAAUAAAUUACAACCGAAACUCCAUCUUUCCGCUCCUCUCUCCCCGCCUCCGAGACGCUUUCUUUUCCAGUGGAAACUUGUGCAAAUACUUGUCAGCGCUGGGAAGCCAAGAGCAGGCCAGUGUGCCCUUCAGCCGGGCAGGCAAACCGGAAGUCAGUGCACAGCGAAUCGGUAUCUCUGGUUCCUUGCCUGGACCCGGAGGACUGUGAGGCUGGCUCCGAGGAGCCACCCGGCCCCAGCCAGCGCUCCAGGGGCCUCAUCCCGGGGGGCUUGCCCGCUUUGGAUACAGAGCUGCUUCAAGGUCCCUGAACACAAUGGCAGCCUCAGCUCUGCAGCAUCUCAUGCGCUUUUCUCCUUCAUGCCCCUGCUGAACUAGGGCCUGAUUAAAACCACACCAGCGCUCCUGAGGCGCUGCCGCCAGGGUCUCAGCAAGACACCCACAAGGAGCAGAGGCCCGGGGCUGCCAAUUUCCUUCCAAACAGAGCUCAUCCUGGUCCACGCUUCUCGCCUGCACACAGAACAGGGCAGUGGAACCUGAUAACAUCCAUGAAUAUCGGUUGUUUAUGGUCUUGUUUUUUUUAGCCCACAAUUAUUUUGUGUGCGUCUCCCUCUCCGUGGGAGUAGACCGAGGCUCUGAGUAUAAUUACGCCUGGCGGAGUGGGCUGCAGAGCAGAGAUGCGCUAGUACAUCAUGAUGGGGCCGUCUAAUGAGCCCCAUUACUCAGAAGGCAGCGUUUCUGUGCAGAGCGAGGCCCCAGCAGGCACUUGGCUUGGCGGGGCUCCCUAUGACCUGCUGGCCCUUAAAUCCCAGUUCCCAAAGAGGCUGUGCAGUCCCUGUUUCUCUACAAAGUGCAACACAUUAGAAAAAGCAGAUUUUUAAAUAAUUACCAAGGUUUGUACCGAUUGUAUUUAGUUUACCUUUAUCCUUUCCCCCACUCCAUACUCCCCAAAAAUACCCACCAUGAGAUAGUUUCACAAAUGAAUCAGUUUUUCAUAAAACACUUAAAAAAAUAACAAUGCUUGUCUUCUUACAUAAGCAUCAGAUACCACGCUUUGUUCAUAGGGUUGAUCAGAGUCCUAAAAACCAAAGUAACAGUUUGCAUAGGCAGAGUUCAUUGUGUGCAAAUCUUACUAAAAUAAGGCUAUUUUCAGUGUUUUAGGUGGUGAUACAGUGAGUAAAGAAAGCUCUCAAGCAACAAGACAUUUCCCUGCAUUCCACAUUCUCUCCAGCUGUACCUGACUUCCUAGGCAGAGAGCGGAGACCAGCGGAUUUGCCUGCACCGUAAGGCAACAUGUGUUGGACGGAAUACAAGUGUUGGAAGCAAAACGCAAAAGGACGGAUGAUCCGGGCUCGUGUUGGGGGCAAGAGGGGCUCCGUCUUUACUCCUCCCUUUGUAAGGGGGGCCACGAUGCGGAAGGCAGCCGGGGCAGGCAUGUGUUCGCAUGCCGCUGGAGGGCCAGCCCUCUGGCACGGGCACCUUCAGAAGUCACUGACCCCUGGGGAUCGCUGGGUGUGACCUACUGCUGCAAGGCAGGACCUACGCUCCUACUCUAAAGAAUGGGAGGAUAAGGACCAAGACCUCUUGAGAAGGAAAAAAAAUGGAGCCCAGAAAGCCUGCCAAAGGAGCAACCACGUUAGUGGGAAGACGAGGUGGGGAAGCCUGGUGGCUGGAGAGAGAGGAGGUGCAGAGAAGGCCCCCCUCCCCCAAAAUCAAGUAUCGUCAGGAAGUCUCUAAGUAGAGAUGUCUAUAAGCAGCUUUGCAUUCAACAUUCAGUCAAGACUAACACCGCAGAAAACCAGAACCAGACUACCAGCACGCGUCGUCCGGGUCGCCCAGGAUCCUGCAGCAGAGGAUGGAGUGUUCCUGGGCCAGGGCAGCCAGCUCCUUCAGGAACUCAGGGAAGAGGGCGGCUGCCAGCAUGGUGUCCCGCACCGCUGGGGGCAGGCUGGGGGGCGCCCCCGCCACCUUGGCUCUGUUCGUCAGGAAAGGCUGAAGCACUUUUGGGGGGCCAUCCAAAAAGUUCUUGCCGCUUCCUGUCCUGGAGGCAUCCUGAACGGGAUCUGAAACCAGAAGGCAGGCAGCCAUGGUGAAGAGCCUCCGGGAGCCCUUCUGUCCACCCUUAAGUGACGUGUGUGUGCUAGAACCGGGGUGGGGGGGGGGGGGGCGGUGCAGAUGUUCAGUUCCCACUCUGACUGCAAUCUGAAGAGCCCCCCUCUACUUCCCUCUGAGACACUCAGAUCCACCCAGCAGAUCAGCUCCAGCAUCAGGCAUGUAAUGAGAGUUUUAUCCUAAUUCCCAUAUGAGGCUCUACAAGCAGGAAUUGUGGCAAGAAUAUAGGUUCAUCAGGAACCCUCUGCGCCUGGGGCGAGACAAAGGGAAAAGGCGUCUCCUCCCUCCGAGUCAGCCAAGUGAAGACUCAGGACAACAGGGACACCGACCCUCCAUGCCUCCCGGAGUCGGGGUGACCACCCUCCCUUUGCCAGCUGAGCCCUGACCACCUCGCAGGGUUGUGCAAGGCGGCCUGAGUCACAUACACCAUGCUGCCCACGGCCUGGGCACAGGGCUCCGGCCUCCAGGGCCAGAAUGGAUGAAGCCUUUUCGAGGUUGGAACGAUGGAGAGGAAGCUGAAUGCUCAUAAGACCAGACUGGGAGCUCUCCACUACUACGGGCAUCUCGCAGCAGCAGGUGGCUUGGACCUUCCAUUCAAGCAAGGUUUCCAGGAGUUUCAAUCUCAGUUUCAAUAAUGUUUGUCCAAGAUGAUAUGAACCAAAUUUUGUAUAUCCAAGUGAUUUGCAUUUUCAUAUCGCAUCAGUUUACCAAUUAAAAUGGUUCAACUUA